Molecule: long non-coding RNA, 299 nt
Organism: Mytilus californianus (California mussel)
Lineage: Eukaryota; Metazoa; Mollusca; Bivalvia; Mytilida; Mytilidae
Exons: 2
Source: RefSeq, a predicted model, not a curated record
AUACGGUGGAGGUUUAGGAGGAUACGGAGGUGGAUUUGGUGGAAAGGGUGGAUACGGAGGUGGAUACGGAGGUGGAUACGGUGGUGGAUACGGAGGUGGAUACGGAGGCGGAUUCGGUGGUGGAAUCGGUGGUGGAAUCGGCGGAGGAUAUGGCAAAGGUGGAUACAGCAAAUAUUAAGGGACUAUCCAUGUAUAGACGACCAGAAUUCCUUGAGAAAAUCCGUUUUGUUUGCAAAUUUGUUUGUUGUUUGAUAUUUAUUUAGUUAUGCAUCGGAAUAAACAUUUCCAUAAAACUUAAA